GCACAGUUUUCACAUGCUGCUUCUCCUGCCUUCAGACAAGUUCUUCUUUUGCACAGUGUUUGGCACGCACUGAAAUUUCUACAUGAAUUGGAAGUUGUGCUGCUGCUUCACAACCCCUCUGCCCGGCCAAAGGGGCUCAGAAGAAGCUGUGGCAGAAAUGACCAGGCAUCCUGAGAAGAUGCCCACACCAAUCUUCACAAAAAGCAAAAAUAGGCUUCAGCUUCCCUGUCCCCUGGCAACCAGACCCACCGUGUCCAUCACCCCUCCUGGCUCACUGUGGCUGCCUGAUUGAUGAGAGGAGUGGUUCAGGCAGGGGACCGGCACAGAAUCCUUUGUGGCGUCCCCCAGGGAGGCAGCUCGGAGGCAGCAGCUGUCCCCAGAGCCCCCUCGGACAAUAGGGGGUGGCAGAAGGUGAGGAGAACGCUCGUGCCUGCACAAGGAAGGAUAAAAGCUCCAUAUGUGCCGGGCCCAGCAGAUGCCCCUCCGCCGUCCCCUCCCUCUGCCUUCCACAGGCAGCAUCUCCAUCAGCGGCUCCUGCUCACAGGGACAUUCAAGGGACAUUCCCAGGGACAUCCCCAGCCCCUCGGGUUUCUGUGGUUGAGGUUGAGAUGACCCCCCAGGUGUUAGAAAUUCUCU
Molecule: long non-coding RNA, 636 nt
Organism: Melospiza melodia melodia
Lineage: Eukaryota; Metazoa; Chordata; Aves; Passeriformes; Passerellidae
Exons: 3
Source: RefSeq, a predicted model, not a curated record